AGAACAUGCGAAACACCACCUAGACCGAAACCUGAGCUCAGGGUCGAUGUAACAUCAAUAUCACUGCUUAAAUCACUUUUUCAUUUAGAAAGGUUUGGUAAUAAAUAAGCGUUCUUAUGAUCAUUGGUACAAAUGACAACUUUCAUCUACACUUGCCAUUUCACCAGCUUUGAUCUGUAAUUACUUUGCAAUUGAUGUUUCCAUGAUAUCCUAAAGUUGAUAAUAGUUAAGAAACUUAAAAUAAUGACAUUAAAAGAUCUCUGACAGUCAGUUGUUACAUGCUUUAUCGGACAUUAUUGGAGUUUCUUACAAAUACGAUCAUUUUCAAUUUUAUGAAGCAUUAUAAGCACAGUUAUAAAGUUUUAUGAAUGUAGCCUUCAUGCACCGCGUCUUCUCCAAACAAUCUUUUCUCCCUUCCCAGGUUGGCCAUAAAGUAUGUACUGACAGUAACUGAUGGCUUUUUGCUUGGAAUGAAGGCAGGCAGUGACGCUGUGUCAAACCCGAUAGAACAAACACAACACAUCAAGAACCUGUUUUACAUGAACAAUUCAAUUCAAGGGUGUGAAAAUUUUUAUCUGAUACAUAACAUCAGAUUACAGUUGAUCAGAAGAAAAGUACUACCCAAGCUCUUAGUCCUCGACUGCUCAGCUUUAGGCUUUGAAUAAAAGCAUCUGGUAAAUGAAUAAUAGGAAAGAAAUGAUCUUUAGUUAUGUCAAAUGAUUCGUCAUGUAUUUUUUUUUUUCUCCUGAACAUAGAAAGCGAACAGACAAGUGAUCAUUCCUGUUUUCCCAUUGCUAUGUGAAAGCCUGAACUGCCACAAGUCACUUGUGGAAGCUGUUGCAUUCGAAGGUUGGAUCUGAAAUUUGUGUUUGGCUGCACGUUGCUAAAGAGGACUGUGAGUUUCUGGCCCAUGUGGGAGACGACGCUAUGCUUGUGUUCCUAGCUGCCAUAUGAGAAAACAUAAUGUCCUCCAGCCUUCAUAUUUUAGGUGGAGAGACAAAUUUGUAGCUGCCAAGUCUCUUCGAUUAGAUAAAGCACACAAACACUGGUGAUGCAUGUGCUGAGAGUAAAGACUGCGAGGUGUUUCGCUGUGAUGUUUGCAGAAAGAACGCAGGGAAAGUGGAACUGCUGGCUCUUUGAAUCACUAUCAGAGCAAAGGGAUUUAAUGGUGAGGUGAUGGUGCUGUUGUAUUUUUAAUUAUUUUAUUUUAUUUUUU
Ictalurus punctatus (channel catfish) is the source of this 1216-nucleotide long non-coding RNA. NCBI's taxonomy places the organism in Eukaryota, Metazoa, Chordata, Actinopteri, Siluriformes, Ictaluridae. The record is from Ensembl.